Long non-coding RNA from Homo sapiens (human), 322 nucleotides. RefSeq lists it as uncharacterized. Lineage: Eukaryota; Metazoa; Chordata; Mammalia; Primates; Hominidae. The transcript is spliced from 3 exons. The record is from RefSeq and is a predicted model, not a curated record.
UCUGGACAAAUUCCUUUCCCUCUAUCAAUACGUUUUAUUUUUUCACGGAGGGGAGGGGACUCAUUUUGCCAAGAAUUUAUUGUGCAUCGUUUCUGAUUCAGCAGGUCUACCGUCGAAACCAGGAAUUAGCAGCUUUAACAAGUGCCACAAGUGAUCGGAUGCCGGUGGUCCCAGGACCACACCUCGAGAAAGCCCCGCAGAGAGAUGAGUGCAUGGAAAGAGCCAACUGAGAGGUGAAGCUUAAACAAAUGUGAGGCAGAAAAAUGUAUUAAUGCGGCACUAAUGAGAAGACGGAAUCAAACUCCCUGCAAAUACACACACA